UACGAAGGGGGCUAGCGUUGUUCGGAUUCACUGGGCGUAAAGCGUGCGUAGGCGGUUUGUUAAGUCAGAGGUGAAAUCCCGAGGCUCAACCUCGGAACUGCCUUUGAUACUGGCUGUCUUGAGUCCGGAAGAGGUGAGUGGAACUCCUAGUGUAGAGGUGAAAUUCGUAGAUAUUAGGAAGAACACCAGUGGCGAAGGCGGCUCACUGGCCCGAAACUGACGCUGAGGUACGAAAGCGUGGGGAGCAAACAGG
This 253-nucleotide ribosomal RNA is filed under the name uncultured bacterium. Its description in RNAcentral is "partial 16S ribosomal RNA". It matches the Rfam family "Bacterial small subunit ribosomal RNA", at positions 524 to 776 of the family's 1533-position model. The record is from RNAcentral.